This 420-nucleotide ribosomal RNA is filed under the name Triticum aestivum (bread wheat). Its description in RNAcentral is "partial small subunit ribosomal RNA". The record is from RNAcentral. Lineage: Eukaryota; Viridiplantae; Streptophyta; Magnoliopsida; Poales; Poaceae.
AUGCAAUGUCGUGGUGUAGUGUACGGCACCUGGGCGUCAUCCAGGAACUUUCACCCCAGCGAUCAAAUUGUCUUCAAGUACUCUCCUCAGGCACACGAUGUCCUUGAGGUCAGCAAGGCCGAUUACGACUCCUGCAGCACCGCCAGCCCCAUCGCCACCCUCAACUCCGGGAAUGAUGUCGUCUCCCUCACUACCACCGGCACCCGCUACUUCCUCUGUGGCUUCCCGGGCCACUGCGCGGGGGGAAUGAAGGUCAAGAUCGAUGUCGUGCCAAGCUCGUCCUCUUCCUCCCCGGCCCCGGCCAGCAGCCCCAGUGCAAGCAAUGCUCCCCCGCCGGCGCCUGUCUCUGCCGCCACCUCUAUGGAGGCCACAGGGUUUAGCCUCGCCGUCUUGCUUGCCGUUGCCGGUCUGAUGGCUUGA